RNAcentral lists this ribosomal RNA (448 nucleotides) under uncultured bacterium. RNAcentral's name for it is "bacterial SSU rRNA". It matches the Rfam family "Bacterial small subunit ribosomal RNA", at positions 55 to 507 of the family's 1533-position model. The record is from RNAcentral.
UGGCGAGGUCAAGGGAAAGCGGCUUCGGCCGGGAGUACUUGGCGCAAGGGUGAGUAAUGUAUAGGUAAUCUGCCCUUUGGACUGGGAUAACCCCGAGAAAUCGGGGACAAUACCAGAUGAUGCAGCGGAACCGCAUGGUUAUGUUGUUAAAGAUUUAUCGCCAAAGGAUGAACCUAUAUCCCAUCAGGUAGUUGGUAAGGUAACGGCUUACCAAGCCUACGACGGGUAGCUGGUCUGGGGGAUGAUCAGCCACAUUGGAACUGAGACACGGUCCAGACUCCUACGGGGAGGCAGCAGUGAGGAAUAUUGGGCAAUGGGGCGAAAGCCUGACGCACAACGCCGCGUGGAUGAUGAAUUCUUCGGGAUGUAAAGUCCUUUUUGGAGAGGAAGAUAUCUUGGGUUACCAGGACUGACGGUACUCUACAAAUAAGCACGGGCUAACUACGUG